This 251-nucleotide ribosomal RNA is filed under the name uncultured bacterium. RNAcentral's name for it is "partial 16S ribosomal RNA". It matches the Rfam family "Bacterial small subunit ribosomal RNA", at positions 101 to 339 of the family's 1533-position model. The record is from RNAcentral.
AACGGGUGAGUAACACGUGGGUGAUCUACCUUCGAGUGGGGGAUAACGUUUCGAAAGGAACGCUAAUACCGCAUAACGUUCUGGGUUUGAAGACCUGGAGACCAAAGCCGGGGACCGCAAGGCCUGGCGCUUGAGGAGGAGCCCGCGCCUGAUUAGCUAGUUGGCGGGGUAACGGCCCACCAAGGCGACGAUCAGUAGCCGGCCUGAGAGGGCGGACGGCCACACUGGGACUGAGACACGGCCCAGACUCC